CGAAAGCUGACAUUUACUGUAAUCCCACAAUGUAUUAAGUACCAAUAGUAAAGAGUUCCUUUUACAAGUCAAAUCACAUAGUAGAAAAUAUUUACUGAUGGAUGGUAUUGUAUAAACCCUACAAUCCUAUGAUAUAAAAUCUUCAAUUAUCAUUCAACAUUAUUUAAUAAAAUUCAGCAGGAUUAUCGGUAUGUAUAUCUCCUACAAUCUACUUUCAUAAUUAUAUUUCAGUUUACCGGACAUGAUAUUUUCUAUAUCGAUAUGAAGUUUUAACUUCAAAAAUAACCCUGUAUUGUAUAUAUGGGUAUAUCCCUCUAACUAUUUUUAGAAUCGGUAGGACAACAAAGAAGUGCCUUUAAGCAAAAUAGUCCCUAUACUUGCAGAGUGUAUAUACAUUUAUUGUGACAUUUUAAAUCAGAAUGCUUGACACAUGUCAGAAAAGAGGAUUUGCAAUUUUUAAAACAAGUUUCAAAAUUGAAUUAUCCUUUGAAGAAAAAAAUUGAAAUUGUUUGAUGUACACCCUUUCCAAAACUGAGAAAUUCCCUACUUUUACUUUCAUUUUCAGAGUUUUUCAAUACAGACGCAUUUUGCCGGAAAACGAAUCUGACUUCAAACCACGAAAUUUUAACAGGAAAGAGACAAUUUGAUGAGCUUUCAUUCAAGAGGUCUCUCGUUGCUGAACGAAAAUUAGGGCCGGAGCUAUGAACCCUAACGUUAACAUUACCGCCUAUGGAAAAUGCAUUAGUGGACUAUACCCAUAUUGAGCUCCAUGCUGUGCGAUCAUUUCAAGCGAGCAAAAGUGAAAGUAGAAAAGCAGAAAGUUUCCGGUGAGGAAAAAUACUUCAUUCUAGCAGUGUCCAGCUAUCUAAGAUUAGUUUGCAUUGUAAGGGAAUUGUAUUAGUGUCCGAUAACAUGUAAAUUGAAAUGGAAGUCUUCUUCAAAGAAUAAAACACAACAAUGAGCCACACUUGAUAGUUUUUCAAUACAGACGCAUUUUGCCGGAAAACGAAUCAGACUUCAAACCACGAAAUUUUAACAGGAAAGAGACAAUUUGAUGAGCUUUCAUUCAAGAGGUCUCUCGUUGCUGAACGAAAAUUAGGGCCGGAGCUAUGAACCCUAACGUUAACAUUACCGCCUAUGGAAAAUGCAUUAGUGGACUAUACCUAACUUUUAAAAACUUUCUGAACAGUUUUUGAAAAUGUAAAACAUGUUUAAUUACCUGUUGCAAACUUCAUAUAUUAAACAUUCAACAGUCAUAAAUUCUAUGUUGAACAUAUACAUGUAUCAUGAAAAAGAGCUUACAGCAAAUUACUGAAUACCAGUAGAGUUUUCAAUACUUUUUCGGAAUGCUCAAUAGCAUAUUUAAUUUGGUCAGCGUGGUAUCACAUUGGGUUUAAAACUAGGUUUCAAUUCACUGCUAAAAAAUGUGAUGUCUACGGGGGGAUUUGUAUUGCAUCAAACCCUGAUGAUAACGUUGAAAAAUUGUACAAGGUAUUCCGAAUGACCUCUGAAUGGAGAAAAGAUGAACAUGUAUUUCCCAUUAUAAAUCUUCGUAAGAAAUCUGUUUUCAUUCCUGUGAAUAUUUCCAAGCAUACAAGGAUAAUGUGUUAAUGGAGUUAUCUUGGAUAUUGUCCCUUUUAUCUAUUUCAAUUGCACUUCAUUCACAGGUAUGUAUAUUUUUUAUUAAAAAUUGUCUAAAUGUGCUGCAUAAAUAUCUUGGGACAGACUAUA
Magallana angulata is the source of this 1731-nucleotide long non-coding RNA. RefSeq lists it as uncharacterized. The record is from RefSeq and is a predicted model, not a curated record. The transcript is spliced from 4 exons. Lineage: Eukaryota; Metazoa; Mollusca; Bivalvia; Ostreida; Ostreidae.